Molecule: ribosomal RNA, 253 nt
Filed under: uncultured bacterium
Lineage: Bacteria
Description: partial 16S ribosomal RNA
Rfam family: Bacterial small subunit ribosomal RNA
Source: RNAcentral
UACGGGGGGGGCAAGCGUUGUUCGGAAUUACUGGGCGUAAAGGGCUCGUAGGCGGCCAACUAAGUCCGACGUGAAAUCCCCGGGCUUAACCUGGGAACUGCGCUUGUUACUGGCAGGCUUGAGUGUGGCAGAGGGGGGUGGAAUUCCACGUGUAGCAGUGAAAUGCGUAGAGAUGUGGAGGAACACCGAUGGCGAAGGCAGCCCCCUGGGCUAACACUGACGCUCAUGCACGAAAGCGUGGGGAGCAAACAGG